GACGAACGCUGGCGGCGUGCCUAAUACAUGCAAGUCGAACGCUUCUUUCCUCCCGAGUGCUUGCCCUCAAUUGGAAAGAGGAGUGGCGGACGGGUGAGUAACACGUGGGUAACCUACCCAUCAGAGGGGGAUAACACUUGGAAACAGGUGCUAAUACCGCAUAACAGUUUAUGCCGCAUGGCAUAAGAGUGAAAGGCGCUUUCGGGUGUCGCUGAUGGAUGGACCCGCGGUGCAUUAGCUAGUUGGUGAGGUAACGGCUCACCAAGGCCACGAUGCAUAGCCGACCUGAGAGGGUGAUCGGCCACACUGGGACUGAGACACGGCCCAGACUCCUACGGGAGGCAGCAGUAGGGAAUCUUCGGCAAUGGACGAAAGUCUGACCGAGCAACGCCGCGUGAGUGAAGAAGGUUUUCGGAUCGUAAAACUCUGUUGUUAGAGAAGAACAAGGACGUUAGUAACUGAACGUCCCCUGACGGUAUCUAACCAGAAAGACACGGCUAACUACGUG
RNAcentral lists this ribosomal RNA (508 nucleotides) under uncultured bacterium. RNAcentral's name for it is "partial 16S ribosomal RNA". It matches the Rfam family "Bacterial small subunit ribosomal RNA", at positions 28 to 507 of the family's 1533-position model. The record is from RNAcentral.